GGGGUGGGACUAAAACAUGCAAGUCGAGCGCCUCCAAGCUAUGGUGAAGGCGCGGCAAACGGCUCAGUAACACGUGGCUAACCUACCCUUGGGACGGAGACACUCCCGGGAAACUGGGGCUAAUCCCCGAUAGGUAAGGACUCCUGGAAUGGAUCCUUGCUGAAAAGACGUUGAGUCCAUGCUAUUCAGCGUCGCCUAAGGAUGGGGCCGCGGCCGAUCAGGUUGUUGGCGAGGCAACGGCUCACCAAGCCUAUAACCGGUACGGGCCGUGAGAGCGGAAGCCCGGAGAUGGGAACUGAGACAAGGUCCCAGGCCCUACGGGGCGCAGCAGUUGCGAAAACUCCGCAAUGCACGAAAGUGUGACGGGGCUACCCCGAGUGCCGUCCGCUGAGGACGGCUUUUCCCCGGUGUAACUAGCCGGGGGAAUAAGGAGAGGGCAAGACUGGUGUCAGCCGCCGCGGUAAUACCAGCUCUCCGAGUUGUAGGGAUGAUUAUUGGGCUUAAAGCGUCCGUAGCCGGCUUAGCAAGUCUCCUGUUAAAUUCAGCGACCCAAUCGUUGAGCCGCGGGAUAUACUACUAGGCUAGGAGGCGGGAGAGGUCUACGGUACUUUCGGGGUAGGGGUGAAAUCCUA
This 632-nucleotide ribosomal RNA is filed under the name uncultured archaeon. RNAcentral's name for it is "bacterial SSU rRNA". It matches the Rfam family "Archaeal small subunit ribosomal RNA", at positions 35 to 642 of the family's 1478-position model. The record is from RNAcentral.